AGGGCGCCGUAUCUUUACGUGGCCGUCUUCCCCGCGCGCCUUGGAUCUGGGGCAAUAUCUGAGAGGGCGUCACCAGCGUGUCGGCGCCCGCGGUUUUCUUCGGGCUGUCCCCAGGCGUCGUGCCCGCGUCCGUCACGCGCGGUGGCUUGCAGGGGCGCACCGCGACAGCCUUAAAGGAAAACCUGUUAGGGACAAGGGCUGCUGUGGGCAGCGAGGGUUAUAGACUCGUGUGUUCUGAAUUCUGGUGGGGGUAGUGAUGGACGCUGACCCAGUUCACAGAAUGAUCUGACUGGCGAAGUAAAGGUACUUGAAUUGCAGGAAAAAAAGUCAAGGUGAACUGAAGAAAAUAAGUCUUUCCCCAAAGGAGGUAGAAGAUGGGGAAGAUGAGAUAUCAGAAGCUAAGGACAAUGGCAGUAGAGAUGAGGUUCUUGCCCCUCAUAAGAAUUGCAGGAAGAAUACCACUGUCCCGGGAAAGAAAGGGGAGGAAAAGUCUCUGGCUCCUGUGUUUGCUGAGAAGUUAAUAUCACCAAGCCGGAGGGGAGCCAAGCUCAAGGACCGUGAGAGCCACCAGGAGAAUGAAGACAGGAACAGUGAGUUGGACCAGGAUGAGGAAGAUAAAGAAUCCUUCUGCAGGGGGUUCCUGUAGAGACGGGGUUUCACUGUGUUAGCCAGGAUGUUCUCGAUCUCCUGACCUCGUGAUCCACCUACCUCGGCCUCCCAAAGUGCUGGGAUUACAGGCGUGAGCCACCGCGCCUGGCUAGUUAUGUGAAUUUUAAAUCUGCUGAUCAAGAAAAAGCCUUGGAACUAAGUGAUACAAAAGUCCUUGGGUAUGAAGUUAAAGAAACCAAAGGGAAAGGAAACAAAGAUCAAAAUGCCAAAACACUUUUGAUCAAGAACCUGCCUGACAAAGUCACUCCACAUGAAUUAAAAGAAGUGUUUGAGGGUGCUUUUCAAAUCAGAUUAGUGAGCAAAGAUGGGAUGAGUAAAAGGUAUGUUUUGCACCUUGUACUGAAUAAGAAUGUAUGUCUACUGGAUACAAACAUAAUGGAAUUUCCUUACAUUCUCUCAAAUCUUUUAUGCCUGAUUUUAGAGAAGGAAAGAGUAGUUAUCCAGAUUUCUGCCAGUAGGCAUAAAAAGCCGAAGGGGACAUCAUAAAGGGACAGCCAAAACUCCUAGAAAACUGUAGUGGUGCUAUAGAGAAAUAGAGACUUCAUCUGCUACCAAGUACAAGAUUGAAGAUUGGAAUUUAUUCAUAGAUUAUGUACAUUCCGUCUUCUCUCUCCAGGGCUGACUCCACUAGAAUAAUGUACUUAGUAACUUGCUUGGACAGGUACCAAAAUAGCACAUAGAAUUGAAUUGUUAGGUUUAUGUUGUAACCAAUUAAUGAAACACUGUCCUUAGAUAUCUAGGCUUUGGUUGAGUAAGAGAGUGAAUAUGGUGAAAUUAGAGAGGGUGGAGUAUAAUAUAUUUUGAAGGGAUUGUCAUUCAGGUGAAAAUUGAAUAUUGGGUUUACAGAUACAUUUGAGCUAAAUGUGUUGGUAUAGGUGAACUCUAAAAUAAUCUGUAGCAGUAUGUUCUGAUGAACAUAAUCUCUAGAAACAAUACUACAGAUCUAACAAGCAUAAGAUAGAACUGUAUGUAUUGACCUGGAAAGCCAUGAUAAAUAUGGGAAAACAAAUUUGAAAGAAUAAAUUCCAAAUUGUUAGCAGUGUUUACUAGGAGGAGAUUUGGGAGCACUCUGCCUAUAGUCUCCAGAAAACCAGCAAACAAGUUCCUGCCAAAAGCUAUAUAAUUUCUCAAAGUUUAAUUAGGUUUUAAUUAAAUAUACUUAAAUCUUUGUAAUCAUUUCUCUACCUGAAGAAUUACUGUAUCACUUCUCAGCCUUUUGGCUAAGAUCGAGUGUAGUAUCUGUUUUUUCAGUUUAAUAUCUGAUAUGUCCUAAAUUAAAAAUAAUAAAAAAUAAAUAAAGGGGAGAUAAGAGAAACCAGAGACUCCAUGGCCAUGUGAAAUAAAGCAUAGUACCUAUGCCAGAAAAGAGUGUGGUGCAGGCUGGGCAUGGUGGCUCAUGCCUGUGAUCCCAGCACUUUGGGAAGCCGAGGCUGGCGGAUCAUGAGGUCAGGAGAUUGAGACCAUCCUGGCCAACAUGGUGAAACCCCGUCUGUACUAAAAUACAAAAAAAUUAGCUGGGCGUUGUGGCGCGCUCCUGUAGUCCCAGCUACUUGGGAGGCUGAGGUAGGGGAAUUGCUUGAACCCGGGAGGCAGAGGUUGCAGUGAGCCAAGAUUGGGCCACUGCACUCCAGUCUGGUGACAGAAUGAGACUCCAUCUCAAAAACAAAACAAAACAAAAACAACAACAGAAUGUGGUGCAUUAUGUUUAAGAAUCUGACUCAAGACCAGGCACGGUGGCUCAUGCCUAUAAUCCCAGCACUUUGGGAGGCCGAGGCGGGGGGGAUCACCUGAGCUCAGAAGUUUGAGACCAGCCUGGCCAACGUGGUAAAACUCUGUCUCUAUUAAAAAUACAGAAGAUUAGCCAGUCAUGGUGGUACACACCUGUAAUCCCAGCUACUCAGGAGGCUGAGACAGGAGAAUCAUUUCAAGCCGGGAGGUAGAGGUUGCAGUGAGCAGAGAUCGUGCCACUUCACUCCAGCCUGGGCAACGAGCAAAACUCUGUCUCAAGAAGAAAGAAUCUGACUCGAUAUGUCCUUAUUCAUACCUUUCACCAAAUUAAAUUAAAGGUUCAUUAGAGAUUUCGUGUAAAAUAUGAAAUCAUAAAGUAUUAGAGGAAGACAUAGAGAAUAUUUUUGGGUUUUGUUUUAAUAAUCUUCAGGAGAGGAAGGCCUUUUGAAGUAUGACACAAUCCUGGAAGUCCCAAAAGAAAAGAUAUAUAAAUUUGGCUAGGCACAAUGACUCACACCUGUAAUUCCAGCACUUUGGGAGGCCGAGGCGGGUGGAUCACCUGAGGUUAGGAGUUCCAGACCAGCCUGGCCAACAUGGUGAAACCCUGUCUCUACUAAAAAUAAAAAAAAAUUAGCUGAGCAUGAUGGUGGGCGCCUGUAAUCUCAGCUACUCGGGAGGCUGAGGCAGGAGAAUCGCUUGAACCUAGGAGGUGGAGGUUGCAGUGUGCUGAGAUCAUGCCACUGCACAACAGCCUGGGUGACAAGAGUGAGGGAAACUCUGUCUCAAAAAAAAAAAAAAAGAUAUAUAAAUUUGACUGCAGAAAUGUAUUUUUACACGGAGGAAAAAAAAAUCCCCAUAAGCAAAGUCAAAAGACAAGUGACAAACCAGGGAAAAAUAUUGGUAACUCAUCAAAACUGAAGACUGGUUUUACUGAUAUAAAAGUGCACCAGAGGCCAGGUGCGGUGGCUCACGCCUGUAAUCCCAGCGCUUUGGGAGGCCGAGGCAGGCGGAUCACCUGAAGUCGGGAGUUUGAGACCAUCCUGGCUAACAUGGUGAAACCCCAUCUCUACUAAAAAUACAAAAAAUUAGCCAGGCAUGGUGGUAUGCGCCUGUAAUCCCAGCUACUCAGGAGGCUGAGGCAGAAGAAUCGCUUGAUCCCGGGAGGCAGAGGUUGCAGUGAGCCGAGAUCGCGCCACUGUACUCCAGCCUGGGCGACAAAGCAAGACUGCCUCUGAAAAAAAAGUGCACCAGGCCAGGCAUGGUGGCUCACGCCUGUAAUCCCAGCACUUUGGGAGGCUGAGGCAGGUGGAUCACCUGAGGUCAGGAGUUCGAGACCAGCCUGGUCAACAUGGUAAAACCCUGUCUCUACUAAAAAUACAAAAAAUUAGCCAGGCAUGGUGGCAGGCACCUGUAGUCCCAGCUACUCGGGAGGCUGAGGCACGAGAAUCACUUGAACCCGGGAGGCGGAGGUUAGUGAGCCGAGAUUGCACCAUUGCACUCCAACCUGAGCAACAAGAGUGAAACUCCAUCUUAAAAAAUAAUAAUAAAUAAAUAAAAAUAAAGCAUGUCCCCGCGAUGAAACCUUCUGAAGGCCAGGUGUGGUGGCUCACGCCUGUAAUCCCAGCACUUUGGGAGGCCAAGGUGGGCAGAUCACCUAAGGUCAGGAGUUCCAGACCAGCCUGGCCAGCAUGGUGAAACCCUGUCUCUACUAAAAACAGAAAAAAUUAGCCAGGCGUGGUGGCGGGCACCUGUAAUCCCAGCUACUCGGGAAGCUGAGGCAGGAGAAUCGCUUGAACCUGGGAGGCAGAGGUUGCAGUGAGCCGAGAUCGCGCCAUUGCACUCCAGCCUGGGCGACAGAGCAAGACUCCAUCUCAAAAAUAAAUAAAUAAAUAAAAUAAAAGUGCAUCUAACAAAUGAGUAAGAAAAAUACCAACACUUUAGGGGAAAUACAGGCAGGCUACAGACAGACAGGAACGGAGUUUUAAGCAUAGGAAAAGAUACUCAUCCUCACUCAUAGUAAAACAAUUUAAAAUAAAAUCUACACUGAGAUACAACUUUUUACCUAUCAAGUAGUCACAGAUAGAAAGGUUUGUUAGCACAGUGGAGAAGAGGGUAAAGAAACUGGCAUGCUCAUACUUUGUUAUUGGAAGUGAAAUUGGAGAAAUCUCUAUGGAGAUUAGGUACUUAGCCAUAGCUACCAAAGUUAGUUGCAGUUACCAUUUUAUCUUGCAGUUCCACUCCUAAGAAUUUAUCCUACAGAUAGUCUCAGACAAGUGUGAAAUAAUGUAUUGCAAAGUUGUUUGAUGCAAAAUUAGAAUUAACCUGAAUAUCAAGCAACAGGUGGUUAAAAUUGUCUGGCCGAUCCAUAAGAUAUUUUUCUAUAUAGCUGUAAAAAGGAAUGAAAUCGCAUUUUGUGUACUGAAGGGAAAUAAUCUCCAGUAUACAUUAUUAAGUGAAAAAAGACAAAGUGUGUAUUAAGUGAAAAAAGACAGUGUGUACAGUAUUCUGCCUUUUAUGUAAAAACAUAAUGGAGAACACACUGUACACAAAAAAUAACUCAACAUGGAUCAAAGACCUAAAUCUAAGAGCUAAAACAUAAAAUCCUUAGAAGAAAACACACUUUGUGCACGACGAUUAAAGAAAAUUGAGAAGUUGGGCUUAAUCAAAAUAAAAAAUGUUUGUGUUUCAAAGGCCAUAUUUAAAAAGUCAAAAGAAAAUCUGUAGACUGGGCCGGGCAUGGUGGCUCACGCCUGUAAUCCCAGCACUUUGGGAGGCCGAGGCGGGCGGAUCACGAGGUCAGGAGAUCGAGACCAUCCUGGCUAAGAUGGUGAAACCCCGUCUCUACUAAAAAUACAAAAAAAGUUAGCCGGGCGAGGUGAUGGGCGCCUGUAGUCCCAGCUACUCGGAAGGCUGAGGCAGGAGAAUGGCGUGAACCUGGGAGGCGGAGCUUGCAGUGAGCCGAGAUAGUGCCACUACACUCCAACCUGGGCGAUAGAGCGAGACUCCUCAAAAAAAAAAAAAAAAGAAAAAGAAAAUCUGUAGACUUGCCGGGCACAGUGGCUCACGCCUGUAAUCCCAGCACUUUGGGAGGCCAAAGUGGGUGGAUCACCCGAGGUCAGGAGUUAGAGACCAGCCUGGCCAACAUGGCAAAACCCCGUCUCUACUAAAAUACAAAAUUAGCCAGGCGUGGCGGUGAGCGCCUGUAAUCCCAGCUACUUGGGAGACUGAGGCAGGAGAAUCGCUUGAACCUGGGAGGUGGAGAUUGCAGUGAGCCGAGAUUGCGCCAUUGCACUCCAGCCUGGGCAACAAGUGAAACUCCGUCUCAAAAAAAAAGAAAAAAGAAAAAAUCUAUAGACUGGAAGAAAAUAUUUGCAAAUCAUAUAUCUGAUAAGGGACUUGUGUCCAGAUAUAUAAAGAACUCAUAUUACAAUUCAACAAUAAAAAGGCAACCCAAUUAAAAAAUGGGCAAAGGAUUUGAAUGGACGUUUCUCCAAACGAGGCAUAUGAAUGGCCGAUAAGCAUGCAAAAAGAUGCUCAACAUUAGUUGUUAGGGAAAUGCAAAUCAAAACCAUGAUGUGAUACACUUCACAUUCAUUAGAAUGGCUAGAAUAAAGACGGCAAACAGUAACAAAUGUUGACAAGGAUGUGGAAAAGGUGGAGCCCUCAUAUGUUGCUGGUGGGAAUGUAAAAUAAUGCAGUUGCUUUGGAGAAGUUUGAUAGUUUCUCAAAAUGUUAAACAUAGAAUUGCCAUAUGGUCUAGAAAUUCUCUUAAGUAUCUACCUCAAAGAAAAGAAAACAUAUGUUCACACUCUCCUGCAAAUGUUCAUGUCAGCAUUAUUUAAUAGUCAAAAAGUAGAAAUGACCCAAAAUGUCUGUCAGUUGAUGGAUUGAUAAAGUAUGGUAUGUCAUUCUGUAUAUGAUAUGUCCAGUAUAGCCAAAUCUAUAUAAACAGAAACUAGAACAGUAGUUGCUUGUGGCUUGGAGUGAGAAUGGGUUGGGAGGAAUGAGGAGUGACUGUCGAUGGGUACUUUCGGGGACAAUACAAAUGUUCCAAAUUUAGUUUACAAUGAUGAUUGUACAGUUGUGUAAACGUAUUAGAAACCAUUGUAAAGUUUAAAUGGGUGGAUUUUAUGAUAUGUAAAUUAUAUCUCAAGCUUUUUAAGAAAAAUUGUGUGUGCAUAUACAUUUGCUUUUAUAUACACAGAAUGUUGCCUCUAUGGUUAGAAAUUGGGUGGCCUGGAAUAGGAAUAUAAGGAAGACUACACCAUAUCCUUUUUUUUUUUUUUUCCUUUUUCUACAUGUUCUAAACCAUAUGCUUUUCUACUUUUUGGAUUUUGAAUCUUGUAUAUUACUGAUUCAGAAGACAAAUAACUGUCUGUGGCCCUAAAUGCUGACUGUUCUUCUCUCCCUCACCUCAUCCCCACAAUUGCAGGAUUGCAUAUAUUGAAUUCAAGUCACAAGCUGAGGCAGAGAGAGCCUUGGAAGAAAAGCAGGGAACAGAGACUGAUGGGCUUGCCGUAGUUCUCGACCAUAUUGGAGAGAAAAGCCAGGGCCAAGAAACUAGAGAUAGAAAGAACAGCACCUGGAGAGGUGAGGGGUCCCAGAGCUCUGAGGAUUGAGAUUUACCAGGGUUGUCACAGGUGGAUCCCAAGGGAUCCUCUGGUACGAGGUUAGGGGCACUCGGCACUUUAUUUUUUUAUUAUUAUUUUGAGACAGGGUCUCACUCCCUUCGCCCAGGCAGGAGCGCAGUGGCACAAUCAUGGCUUGCGGCAGUCUCGAUUUCCUGGGUUCAGGUGAUCCUCCUACCUCAACCUCCCGAGUAGCCAGACUACAGAUGGGAAGGCCACUCAGCACUUUAUUUUUUAUUUUAUUUUUAUUUAUUUAUUUUUUUAGAUGGAGUCUCGCUCUGUCGCCCAGGCUGGAUUGCAGUGGCACAGUCUCGGCUCACCGCAACCUCUGCCUCCCAGGUUCAAGCAAUUCUCCUGCCUCAGCUUCCCGAGUAGCUGGGAUUACAGGUGCCCGCCACCACACCUGGCCGAGAUCACACCACUGCACUCCAGCCUGGGUAACAGAGCCAGACCUCUUGUCUCAAAACAAAAAAAAGGAAACCCAUCAGUUUAUUUUUUCUUUUUUGGGCACCCUCUAGGAUUUUGUUUGAACAAGCUCUUAUAUCUGUGGUUUCAGAAUUAGAUAUUUAAUUCUCUUCAGAUAUUAAUUUUCUUCAAGUAGUGUUUUUGCAGGUUUAAACAAGUGACCCCAAACCAGUGUCCCUAAUUUGCCUUAUCUGAUCGGCAAACAUGUUGGCUUAUUCUGUAAGAGACCAUUGAAUUUAUUAUGAGUAUUUCAAAAAAUCAAAAAAUUUCACAUAAACCCCUGGAUUUCCAGCUUCUUUUGAUACAACAGAAAAUCUGCCCAGGUGCAGUGGUUCACACUUGUAAUCCCAGCACUUUGGGAGGCUGAGGUGGGUGGAUCGCUUGAGCCCUGGAGUUCAAGACCAGCCGGGGCAACAUGGAGAGACCCCAUCUGUAAAAAACAAAAAACAAAAAACAAAAAAACAAAAUUAGCUGGGUGUGGCGUUGCAUACCUGUAGUCCUAGCUAACUCAGGAGACUGAGGUAGGAGGAUUGCCUGAGCCUGGGAGGUCGAGGCUACAGUGAGCCAUGAUGGUGCCACUGCACUCCAGCCGAGGGGACAGAGUGAGACCCUAUCUGUCUCAAAGAAAAAGGAAAGAAAAUGCAGCCAUGGUGGCACCGUGGCUGCAUUCCCACAUGGCAGCAGUUGGCUGGUGAUGAGAAGUAGCUGCUUCCUUUUAGGUGUGGCCUUUGCUCUUGUUUGCUGGUAACCCCCACAGUUGCUGAGGGUCUCCCCACCAACAGCGGUGGGAACAGCACAACACUUGCACUUUUAAACAUAGAGUUAAUACUUUUUUCUUAGAAAAUAGCCCUUUUUUUUAUAGUAAAGAUGACAUGGCUGGGCAUGGUGGCUCAUGCCUGUAAUCCCAACACUGGGAGGCUGAGGAGGGCAGAUGAUGAGGUCAGGAGUUCGAAACCAGCCUGGCCGGCACGGUGAAACCCCGUCUCUAACAAAAAUUAGCCGGGUAUGAUGGCACAUACCUGUAAUCCCAGCUACUCAGGAGGCUGAGGCAGGAGAAUUCCUUGAACUCGGGAGGUGGAGGUUGCAGUGAGCCAAGAUCGCACCACUGCACUCCAGCCCAGGCGACAGAGCGAAACUCUGUCUCGGGGGAAAAAAUAAAAGGAUGACAUUUUAAUAUUUCUUAUGCAUUUGUCUCUUCCACAAGUGGAAAGACAAAGUAUAGAACAAGACAUCCACACUUUUCAAGAAAAAUGGGAGAGAGCCUAUUUUUUUUGUGGAAGUAAAGAAUGUUCCUACAUGUUUAAUAUGCAAAGUCUGUCUGUGUUGAAAGAGCAUACCCUAAGACACCAUUAUGAAACAAACCAUAGCAAGAACCACGAUGGAUAUACAGAAAAGAUGCGUGACAAAAAACUUAACGAACUGAAAAAAAGACUGAGAUUUUAACAUGACUUGCUUUUGAAUGUGAAUAAAAUAGGUGAUGCUGCUGUGGAGUGUAGUUGUAUAUUAAGUGAGAAAAUUGCCCAGGCAUCAAAACCUUUUACAGAUGGGGAGUUUAUAAAAGAAUGCUUGUUGAAUGCAGCAGAAAUUAUGUGCCCUGAACAGAGACAGCAUUUGCAAAUAUAAGACUAACUGGUAAUAUUAUUGCUCAGCAUGUUGAUGAUAUGGCUGAAAACUUACAGGACAGGUUUCAAGAAAAAGUGAAAUCAUUUGUGGCUUUCUCUGUGGCAGCUCAUGGGAACACUGAUAUAAAUAAUGCUCCCCAGUUGGCUGUGUUCAUUCGUGGUGUUGAUGAAACUUUUGAUGUGACCGAAGAACUUUUAGAUAUGGUACCCAUAACAGGCACAGCAUCAGGAAAUGACAUAUUUUUAUGUGUUGAGAAAAGUCUUAAAAAAUUUAAUGUAGACUGGUCAAAAUUAGUAAGUGUUAGCACAGAUGGUAAUUCUGCAAUGGUUGGUGUUAAACAACUUGUUACAAAACUAAAUCUAAGGUGGCAGGGCUUUGCAAAGGCACAGAACUUAAGUGUGUGCAUGGCCUCAUUCUCCAGGAAUCACUUUGUGCUAAAAAGUUAAAAAUGGAUCACGUCAUGGACAUAGUAAUUUACAGCAUAACCUGGAUACAUUCCCAUGGCUCAACCCACAGAAAGUUCAACACUUUGUUCAGUGAGUUAGAUGCACAAUAUGGAAGCCUGUUCUGUGACAUGGAAGUGAAGUGGCUGAGUUGUGGUAUGGUGCUAAAGCAGUUUUUUGAACUGUUGGAAGAAAUUGACUUUUUCAUGUCCUCUAAAGGAAAAUCUGUGCCUCAGCUCACUAGCAAAAAUUGGGUCAAAGACAGCCUUUUUGAUUGACAUUACAACACAUCUAAAUACAUUGGAUAUUUCUCUGCAAAGACAUUCACAAGUGGUUACACAAAUCUAUGAUUCAAUUCACUAAUUCCUAGCAAAAUUGUGUCUUUGGGAAACUCAUUUGACAAGGAACAAUCUGGCCCACUUCCUUACACUGAAAUUAGUUUCUGAAAAUGAAAGCGAUGGCCUGAACUAUAUUCCAAAAAUUAAAGAAUUGAAGACUGAAUUCCAAAAAAGAUUAUCUGAUUUCAAACUUUAUGAAAAUGAACUGAUAUUGUGCAGUUCACCUUUCUUGAUGAAUAUUAAUCAUGUGAAUGCAGAGCUGCAAAUGGAAGUUAUUGAAUUGCAGUGCAACACUAUACUGAAAACUAAAUAUGAUGAUGUGCGAAUCCCAGAAUUCUACAAAUUCCUAGGUAAUGGUUACCCUAAAUAUAAAAAACAUUGUGCGAAGAUUCUGUGCAUGUUUGGAAAUACCUAUGUUUAUGAGCAGCUAUUUUCUCUUAUGAAGCUAAGUAAAACUAAAUAUUGCUCCCAGUUAAAGGAAAGAUGAAUUCUCUGCUGCACGUUGCUAUACAAGAUUCACAACCUGACGCUGAUUGAUAUCUUGGGCCCUAAGAAAGGAAUGUUAGAUUUCAGAUUUCAAAUCUGAGAAGUAAUAAAUUACGAAACUUGGGAUAAUUAUUUCUAUUUUCAAAUGAUAUUUUUUCAAUAUGAAGUUUAGAGUACAAUCUCUGGCAUUAUAUAUGUUUGUUAAAUCUUAUACCAUAUAAAAUAAAGUUGGAUUAUACUUUU
Gorilla gorilla gorilla (western lowland gorilla) is the source of this 10623-nucleotide RNA transcript. RefSeq lists it as uncharacterized. The transcript has 5 exons. The record is from RefSeq and is a predicted model, not a curated record. NCBI's taxonomy places the organism in Eukaryota, Metazoa, Chordata, Mammalia, Primates, Hominidae.